UGGGUUGUUCGCUCGACAUAGAGAGAGCGAAUAGAACUGGGGAAUGAGGGAGAGAACGCAGAGAAGCAGAAGAGGGGGACGAGAGGCUCUCAGGGUUUUGUUUUGAUUGCGCAAGAGUUUUGGUAUUAUUUUUUUUUUCUUUUUUCGGAAUCAAAACCCUAUCUGUUUGUAGGUAUUGGUAUUUUUUUUCCCCUGUAAUUUUUGGGUUUGCUGUGUUUGCAUGGUUUUUGGGAUCAUCUGAAUGAUGAAUUUGAUUGUAUGAGGCUUAAUGUCUGGGCUCAAGGUGUGCGAAGCGUUGGUUUUGUCUGUGUUCCUGGUUUUUGGUAUUAGAAUGUUUGAUGAUAAUGAGUUUGAUUUGUCUUUUGUCUAGAAUCUCUUCUUUUUUGCUUCUGGGGGCUUCCUAUUUGCUGAUUUCGUUUUGUUGUUCGCUCUGCAUGCAUCGAUCGGCUCUUCUUUGCCUAUUUGGUGACUACUUUUGAUAGUGGAACCGGGGCUUUAAGAUAAGUACGGGUGAGUGUUUUUGCCAGUUCUAACUAUACUCAAACCCAAUCCACAAGAAGACAAACAAAAUGAAUAGUGUCCUGCCUGUUCUACCCCUGCCUCAUGUCUUCGAUUACGGAAUUGUCCUGCCUCAUGUCUUCUAUGGCAUCGAGUCCCAGGAGCUGUUUGCUUCUCCUGCCACCGAGUAGUGUUGACGUGGCCGCGCGUCCUUUCCCUGCAGAAAUAUAGAGAUAGAGGGAGACAGCGAUGGUGAGAUCGAGGGUUUGCUCCUUUCCUCCACACAAAGAGAUAGAGAGCGAAGGGAAUUGAGAUUCAGCAGUAAGCAAUUAAACUAUGAAAAGAGGGAAAAACUUCCUGCGGUUUGUUCCUAUGCAGAAUCAAAUCCAAUUGAAGCAAGGUUCUAUUUCGACUUGGAGAAUAAGACGAUUGCUCAUAUUCUUGCUGGGUUUUCUUAUUUGUUCCUAUAAAUAGAAGCAAUUGUUGGGGCAAAAUCGAUUCUGAGGAUGUCAUUAUUUUCUUAGAGAUUCAAGCUAUUGAAGCUCCUGAAUUUUCAAGGAGGACUUUUGAUGGGUAUUGAUGAAUUUCAGAUUGUUCUCGGGUAUUAUUUGCUUGAUGGUGUUUGGUUUCAGAUGUUCUGUUAGUUUGACAAAGGUGCAGCAACUUUGUCUUCAAUUGGAUCAAUUUACGAGUAGAGUGCCUUCUGUGUGAUGUUCAGGUUCCUGGUCAAUAUAGCUGUGUUGAUAUCUGCCAUUGGGUUUUUGUGGUUUUAUUUAUAGAUUCAGCAAGUAUUCAAAAUAAAUCUCACUGUUCUCUCUGUUUUGGCUCUUCAGUUUUCUUUUAUAUGUUUGAAGUUGGCUGCUUUGGGAUUGUUAAACUGAGGUUAAGUUUGAUUCGGUCUCAUAGCUAUGAAAAGUAUGGAUUCUAAAGAAGGAGGUCACUGCUGUGAUAUGUAUAGUCCAAAUGAUUGAAUUAUCUUAAUGAAUUUGGUAUCAUUAUUUGGUCAUCAAUAUUGGAAUUUGUGCUUCUUUGGCAGUGCUUUAGGAUUGGAGAUCAGGGCUCAUAGAAUCUGUAACUGUUCAGGAUGAAUGUUGUAUUCAGAAUUCAUUCUAAACAUUUGGUCCUUUGGUUUUUCGUAUUAUUGGGAAAUUGUAGCAGAUAAAUAGUGUAGAUAAGCAUAUCAAUUUACUAAAAUGAGUUGAAGUUAUGAGUUUUAUGAAUCUCACUAUGAGAAAGACUUCGUUGAAUUGCAACUAAGCCAUAGCAUACACUGCUGAUUUCACUGUGUGUACUUCUAUUGUGAAAAAUCUAUCUAGAUGCUUUUUGAAGAUAUUAACCCUGUCAUAUGCUUUCAGAUUGCGAAAGCUUCUCUGAAUCAACUCAAACUGUUCCUGAUGAAUUGACUUCUUGGAAUUUAAACCCUAAGAGGUUGUAGCAGCAGUGGCCAUUUAUGUGGUGGGAGGAAUCAAAGCAUUAGAUCACACUGAGAAUGCAGUCUCUGUGCUCAUCCAACAUGUAGACUUGGAAAAGAAGAAGAAGAUGAAAUUGAAAUUGAUGACUUUUGCUUUUGCAUUUGCUCUUAUCAUUUUGGUGUUGAUUACAAAUUUACACAAUCAAAUACAUACAUUAAACAUGAUUACUGCAGACGUUGAUUUUGUUUUUGGUUUUGGUUUUACUUUUGUGAGGCAACUCCUUUAUGUUUUGAAUUGAGGGAAAUUUAAGCUACAAUCAUCCACUUUUAAGUUUCAAGGCAUGCACCGAUUGUCCUGACCAUUUGCAUAUAUAUAAACCUUCAUUCAAUUUACUAGCAAUUUUCUACCCCGCAGCAUCGCGCGGGACUACUUCCUAGUUCUAACUAUACUAAAACGCAAACCAGAUGAGGACAAACAAAAUGAACAGUGUACUUUCAGUUUUGACCCCUACUUUUCUGGGCGUUUUACACUCUUGCCCGACAGACACCUGUUAUUUCGUUUGUUUGCCAAUUGCCACAAACCCUGCCACCGCUUUGACCUGUGUGUUUUGGUAGCUGACCCAUACGCAGAAAGAGAGAGGCGUUGAUCUGCAGCCUGAAGAUUUGACGAUUUUGCAUGAUCGAGCCUGGAGUUCAGCAGCCUGAAGAUUUGACGACCUUUGUCUCACGGAUAUAGGUCGUGGUUUGCUGAUCAGUUUUGGUUCUGCUUCUUUAACACCCCUGUUUGAUUUCUUCAAAAUUUAUUCACAUGUCAAUGAUUUACGGUCUGGACUGUACCAGAUUUUCUAGGAAGAAGUAAUUGAUAGCUUCUAGGAAACUAGAGUCCAAGAUGGUACCUUUGAUAUAACAAAUUCAAAAUAUGGUGGAAAGCCCUACAUUGAUAUCAGCAAGUGAAAGAAGGGAAUGACUGCAAAGAGAAGAUGGUUACUGCACUGCGGCCGUAUUGGAUCAAUGGCUACCGGAUAAUAUAAAGACACAUUAUCAUGUUUUGCAACUGGGUGAUGAUGUAUAUGAUGCCAUGUUGAACCAGACGAAUGUUGGCCAUACCAAUAACAAGUACUCUGUGCUUCAAGUUCUUGAAUCCGAUGAUGGUGGUAAUUUUGUGGUUCACUAUAGAUUGGGGGAGAGUAGGUGUCAAGGGUUAAAUGGAGGGGUUUGUAAUAAUAAGAUGGUGGAAACUGAACCAACUUGGAACUAUCGCACUUUGGGGUAUGCCUUUCUCAAGUAAGUUUAAAUGUUGAAGAAGCCUAAUGGUAAGAGAUUUUAUGCAAGCAUAGAUGGACAAGGAGAUAUGAAGUUCAUUUAUGGGACCAAGGGUCUUGGCAUCCAACAUAAAGGAAGAAGGGAAAGCAAGUUUAUCUGGGAAAGUACUUAAUUACUAACUAGACUGCUCAAAACCACUUAAUUGUCAGAUAAACAUAUCUUGAAUCAUCAAACACAGAAUGUAUAUGCAGGGGCUUAUGGUGAAGAAGAAUCCGCAGUAAGAGCAUAUGAUUUGGCAGCACUCAAGUACCGGGGAACACCAACUUUCAAAAAUUUUCCGAUCUCUGAUUAUGAGAAUGAAAUUGAUCUAAUGAAGACUCUUUAACAUUAGAAGAAUACUUGGCCUCUCUAAGAAGAAGAAGCAGUGGCUUUUCAAGUGGUGUAUCCAAGGACAAAGGAGUUACAAGGACAAUGGCAAUUAAAACCCUUCAUCAAAUGUGACUGUUCUGAUAAUGUCACUUGCCACAUUACCUAGCUGUAAUUUAGUCUCUUACUGUCUUUGUUUUUAUUUUGAUGCCACUCUGAACAACCAUACUCUACCUUCAAAAUCACACCCAUCCAAUGAUCAUGAUUUGCAUUUGCAUGAAAGUCUAUACCUUGGAUGUUGUUGGCCUACUUCCACAUGAGCUAUGGACAUCGAGCUACCCAUUCAAUCUGUAUGUUGUUAUAAAUUAUUGUGCUCGAGUUUCACAUUUAGCUGGCCAAGUUUAGUACCAAAUUUGUAAUAUUUGUCAUAUUUUGAAAUAUGUAAAUACACCAGUCUGAUUAGAAUACCAGCUUUUGUAGUCUGUAAAUAAAUAACUUUUUCAAUUAUAAUACAUAUUUGGCAUGAAAGUAAGCCAACGUUUCUUGAAUUGCAAUUGCUACUCUAUUAUGCAAAAAAUUGAGGUGGAAAACAAACCCGCAGCAUCGCGCGGGAUUCGUGACUAGUAAUAUACUAAUAUAGUUUUGGCUACAUAUGCUUAUGUGUUCAUUUUUUUAUUCCUGUACAAUGAUGUGGUUUCAUCCUUCAAAUAUUAUAUAAGUU
Rosa rugosa (rugosa rose) is the source of this 4259-nucleotide long non-coding RNA. RefSeq lists it as uncharacterized. The record is from RefSeq and is a predicted model, not a curated record. Lineage: Eukaryota; Viridiplantae; Streptophyta; Magnoliopsida; Rosales; Rosaceae. The transcript is spliced from 11 exons.